UAGUGGCGCACGGGUGCGUAACACGUAUGCAACCUACCUAUUAUUGGGGGAUAGCCUUUGGAAACGGAGAUUAAUACCGCAUAAUACGAUUGACUGGCAUCGGUUGAUUGUUAAAGCUUAGGCGAUAAUAGAUGGGCAUGCGUCCAAUUAGUUAGUUGGUUAGGUAACGGCUGACCAAGACGAUGAUUGGUAGGGGAUCUGAGAGGAUAAUCCCCCACACUGGCACUGAGAUACGGGCCAGACUCCUACGGGAGGCAGCAGUAGGGAAUAUUGGGCAAUGGGCGGAAGCCUGACCCAGCCAUGCCGCGUGCAGGAAGAAGGCGUUAUGCGUUGUAAACUGCUUUUUUAUAGGAAGAAGGAUCCCUUGCGAGGGAAGGUGACGGUACUAUAAGAAUAAGCACCGGCUAACUCCGUGCCAGCAGCCGCGGUAAUACGGAGGGUGCAAGCGUUGUCCGGAUUUAUUGGGUUUAAAGGGUGCGUAGGCGGUUUAUUAAGUCAGUGGUGAAAGACGGUCGCUCAACGAUUGCAGUGCCAUUGAUACUGGUAGACUUGAGUGAGAUUGAGGUAGCUGGAAUGGAUAGUGUAGCGGUGAAAUGCAUAGAUAUUACAUGGAAUACCAAUUGCGAAGGCAGGUUACUACUAAUAUAUUGACGCUGAUGGACGAAAGCGUGGGUAGCGAACAGGAUUAGAUACCCUGGUAGUCCACGCCGUAAACGAUGGAUACUAGCUGUUGGGAGCAAUCUCAGUGGCUAAGCGAAAGUGAUAAGUAUCCCACCUGGGGAGUACGU
This 788-nucleotide ribosomal RNA is filed under the name uncultured Bacteroidota bacterium. RNAcentral's name for it is "bacterial SSU rRNA". It matches the Rfam family "Bacterial small subunit ribosomal RNA", at positions 93 to 885 of the family's 1533-position model. Lineage: Bacteria; Pseudomonadati; Bacteroidota. The record is from RNAcentral.